Molecule: transfer RNA, 72 nt
Filed under: Eggerthella sp. CAG:368
Lineage: Bacteria; Bacillati; Actinomycetota; Coriobacteriia; Eggerthellales; Eggerthellaceae
Rfam family: tRNA
About the family: Transfer RNA (tRNA) molecules are approximately 80 nucleotides in length. Their secondary structure includes four short double-helical elements and three loops (D, anti-codon, and T loops).
Source: Rfam by way of RNAcentral
GCGGGCGUCGUAUAAUGGUUAUUACUCGGGCUUCCCAAGCCUGCGACGCGGGUUCGAUUCCCGUCGCCCGCU